GCGGCGCGUUCCUGCUCAUGCGCCACGUCAUCCCCGCCAUGCGCGCGAACGGAUCCGGACGCAUCGUGCUGAUCGGCUCGAUCAACGGCUCGCGCGGAAAGUUCGGGACGUCGGCGUAUGCGGCCAGCAAGGCCGGCCUGCUCGGCCUGGCGAAGAGCGUCAGCCGCGAGACCGGCCGCCUCGGCAUUCUCGUCAACGUCGUCGAGCCGGGCUGGGUGCGCACGCCGCUCACCGAGACCUAUCCCGAGCCCGUGCGGCAACAGGCACUCGCGGAGACGCUCCUCGGCGAGCUCGUCGAGCCCGAGGACGUCGCCGCGACGGUGGUGUUUCUGUGCGGGCCGGGCUCGCGGCGCAUGACCGGCCAAGUCCUCCGCGUCGAUGCGGGACAGUACCUAUGAGAACCGGUUGGCGGUUGACGGUUGGCGGUUGGCGGGAGCGGAUUCCCGCCGACUGCCUACUGCCAACUACCAACUGAAUGAGGAGACAAGAUGUCCAUCAUCGAAGAAUCGGCAACUGAGAUCGCAACCAUCCGUCUCAUGCGCGACAGCGACAUCGACGCCGUGGUGCGCAUCGACGCCGCGGCCACGGGUCGCGCCAGGCCGCGCUACUUCGAGCUGAUGCUCCAGCGCGCACUUCAGUUCGCGGGACUCCAGAUCUCGCUCGUCGCGGAGGUCGACGGUCGCGUGGCCGGCUACCUCAUCGGCUCCCUCUACUACGGCGAAUACGGCAUGACCGAGCCGACCGCAUCCAUCGACGCCAUCGGCGUCGAGCCCGGCCUGCGCCGCACCCACAUCGCCCGCGAGCUCUUCGCCCAGCUCCGCCGCAACGUCGGCGCCAUCGGUGCAACGUCGAUCCGCACCGAGGUGGACUGGAGCCGCUUCGAGCUCCUGGCGUUCCUGAGGAGCGAAGGGUUCGAGCCGGCGCCGCGGCUGUGUUUGGAGAGGAAGGUGGAUCCGACGGAGUGAGGCAGUCGAAAGUCACGCGCGUUCGCGCCACGCGAGGUAAUCGCCAGACUUGAUUUCGCGGUGUCCCGCGGGCCACGUAUUGAGGAGGUAUGCCCACGCCGGAAGAAUCGCGCCGCUGGCCAGGCGCGCAUUGACCAGCUCCCGACGAUACUCCUGUGGUUGCGGAUCGUUGGGCGAGCACCCUUCAUAUUCGUCCAACUGAGCGAUGACGUGAUCCCAGUCGGCAUCCUCAACCUCGUACAGCUCGCCAACGACUCGGCUCGAGUCACCCGAAGAGACCAUCCCCGGAUAUUCACCAAGAUCGUACAAGCGACCCGAUACGCUCGCGUCGCCAACGAAGCGACCGUACUUCGCGAGCAGAUGAAACAUCUCGUGCGAUGGAUCGCGUCUGAGCGUUCCGUACACGAAAAGCCGCGUCGAGCGUUCUCCUGUCAUUUCUUCUUGCUUUCUCCACGCGUCAAAAGCAACGCAUCGAGCUCUUCAAAUCCGUUCCCACGAAUGUAGGUUCGGACGAAGUCAUGCUUGCACAAAAGCCGCAGGUAGUAGUCGAACAUCAUCGAGAUUUCCUCAGCCUUCAGCUGGCCAAGUGCACGUUCAAGCUUGUUCCGCGAGGUUUGGCAUGUCAUCCCGAGCGUGAGUCGAGGGACCUGGGCGGGUGGGGCCACGAGGCGCAUGCCGGCCGCACCGCCCACCCAGGUCCCUCGACUCACGCUCGGGAUGACAGACCUUGACCACCUGCUUUCAAGUUUGAACGCGCACUAGCUUAUGGCGCGUGGCGACAAACUCGAAGAAGUUCAGAUAGUCAUCUCGAGGCUCCCAUGACCCUCCACAAUCGAUGCAUCCGUUCGAACACUGAACGCGUGGGCGCGUUGAGCACUCACCCCAUCACCCCCACCCGUGACGUUCCCCACCGCAUUCUGUGAGCACUCCUCUCACCAUUCGUUGCAUCCGCCAUGGCUG
Molecule: unclassified non-coding RNA, 1925 nt
Filed under: uncultured fungus
Lineage: Eukaryota; Fungi
Description: sequence contains 18S rRNA gene, ITS1, 5.8S rRNA gene, ITS2, 28S rRNA gene
Source: RNAcentral